GAAAAACAAAAUUGUUCUCAUUUCUAGAAAAUAUUUCUUUAAUUUCCUCCCUUAUAUUAUGAGGUGAUUGGGCAAAUUAAUCUGUAAGUCUGUUUGGGAGCAAGCUUUCUAAUUUUCUCUUAAGAACCUCUAUUGUUACAUAAGAAUAUCUCAUUAAGCUUUGCCUUUCCUGGGGAAUAAGAAGGCAGCAGGUGAUAAUGAAAUAAAGAUUUUUUUAAGAGGCUUUUAUGGCAAUUUCUCCUCUAUAAGGAGGCAACAUGAACUGCAUUGACAUUAUUAAGCCUGCUAAAGCAUAUUCCCAAAUUCAGGACUUAUCAGGGGACAUUUACUAAUUUCCACAAUAAAUAACAACACUAAAUGGAAAAAUGCA
RNAcentral lists this long non-coding RNA (370 nucleotides) under Bos indicus x Bos taurus (hybrid cattle). RNAcentral's name for it is "lncRNA (ENSBIXG00005030653.1)". The record is from RNAcentral. Lineage: Eukaryota; Metazoa; Chordata; Mammalia; Artiodactyla; Bovidae.